This 4156-nucleotide long non-coding RNA is filed under the name Malus domestica (apple). RNAcentral describes it as "long non-coding RNA (MDOM_LNC011626)". Lineage: Eukaryota; Viridiplantae; Streptophyta; Magnoliopsida; Rosales; Rosaceae. The record is from RNAcentral.
UUUUUUUUUUUUUUUUUGAACAUCUAUCUGGAUUUUGACUAAUUCUACAAUCCAAAAAAUAAAAUAAAAAUACAAAUCCAUGAUGUCAUUGUUCUCCUAAAAAACUGAUCGUUUUCGAUGGCUGCAAAGUUGGGACACUACGAAAUCGACUCCAAAACUGUUCGCUGAUUAAUUUCAACACAAAGGUCCCGAAAAUCAAACAAUUAGGAUCUGAAAACAAACAAGAAAAAUGAUAUUAUAUAUAUAUAUAUAUAUAUAUAUAUAUAUAUAUAUAUCUGUGUGUGUGUAUUUAUGUACGUAUUUACCAGUUAAAGAGGGGACGAGUGUAUUGAGAAGGAGCAGCAGGAUCAGAGACGCGCAACCCAUUUUUCAUCACUCGGUGGUUUCUUAGUUCUCAAAAAUUUUAAUUUUAAUUGAAAAAUGACAAAUAAAGUUGUAAGUGAAUAGUACAAAAAAAGAUAAAAAUAUGGUUUUUCAUAAAAAAAAAAUAAAUGGUACCAAAAGUGUUUCGUUAAAACUCACAAACAAAAUCCGAUCCGGUGAGAACGGUGGCUGUGGUGGGUACCCGGUGACCCAAUGUACCACAGGUCUCAGGUCUGCGGUGAUGGACCCAAACUUCUAACUGGGUCGGAAGGGAAACAUGGACUCAGGUUGGAGGCCCAUAUAUGUUGCCCUUUCGUUUCUAUACUUAUUUUUACAUAUUUCUAUAAACAUCCACAUAAAUUUCUAAUAUUUCUAAUUUAUUCCUGCUUAAAAUAGAGAAAUAAAAAUUGGCACCAUUCCAAACCCUUUCUGUUUUUUGGUCAAGGAGGAAUUUUAUAACAAAGUCCAAACGGACGCAGUAGAAAGAUAACAGCUUCAUAAUUGAGGUAGGUACAAAUGAGACGUCACUUGUACAUUCAUCGCAUGAGUAAAGGUUCUCAAUUAUACCUAAAGCAUACAAAAAAAUUACAAGAGAUAUGGCUCGGCCCAAAAGCCGAAGUCCACCCGAAGAGGCCCAAAAGUGACCCCUCCGAAAAAAUCUAAUAACCCUAAAACGAGAAUCACCCACCGCCUCAACCGCCUCACCAUUCCAAACCCUUCUUGAUUCUUAUUCUCCUUCUUUCGCCUUCUCUUAAUUCUUCUCCAAACACAGAUUUGCCAUUGGGCUCCACUGCAUCUGGAAUUGACAGUGCACUGUGCACUGCAACAGUGGCUCAGAAAAGGACGACGCCGUUUCCCAAAUUCUCAGUCAAGCACCGCCUGAAAUCCUUAUGGCCCUAGAGCACCAAGAGGAGGUGGCGGACCCACAUACCAUGGGAUGGCUCUCGUAUGAGGGGUAUACUUAGGGAAUAAAUUUAAUUUAAAUAAUUGAAUAUGCAACGGAAAAAUAAUAAAUAACAUACAAUAUGUUAUUCCAAUAUGCUAAAAAUGUCUCUAUAAUCUUAUCAAAUAGUGCUAAUAGCAUUUUAACAACUACACAACACCAAAGUGCGUCGAAGUGAGGCACCUGAUGAGCCUAAAAACAGAGGUGGAUGGUUUAAGGGUUGCGAUGGAAAGCAAUAUUGGAGCAAAAAAGGGGCAUAAAAACCCAAAUUUUGAGACGAAAGGUCAAGAAAACCAAAAUACAAGGGGUCUAAGUAAAAUACAGAGAAGCUAAGGAGACAAAGGAGAAGGAAAAGUAGUUGGAAUUGGCCAGAGAAGGGGGUUGCCAUCGACCCCCACCCAAAGUAGGUGUUGGUGGCAUUGUCUUCAUGAUUCAGCGUGUCCGUGUUUGUCUUAUCCAUUUUGCUUUAAUGUCUUUGUGUUUUUUAAAACUUCCAUGUUAUGUAUCAUUGAGGGCUUCAAAAAGAAAAAUAAAGAACGGUUAGAUCUUUCAUGUUGCGUUCUAAUUAUCUUUGCAAUGAUUAAAUUUUUUAUAAAACUCCUACUUGAAUGGUAUGUACUAUUGCAGUCGAACUUUUAUUAGUAUUUAAUAUAACAGGAUAGUGUUAUUUACACAUCUGUUUUACCCACACGCAUUUGUUAAUUUUGAACCAUCAAAUUUCUUCAAUUCAUUCGAUUAGACGGUUGGAUAUUGACCUCUCGUUGAUUUCUGUUCUUUGAUAUUUUUCAAUUCAUCUUAUCAGACAUCCGAAAAUUAAAAAAAUGUGUGAAUAUCACACCCCUAAUAAAAAAUGGUGGAUAGCACUACCCUAAUAAGGUUAGUGGAGUGUCAACUUCAUCUCUCGUAUUUUUCCACUCUUCAAAGUGAAGAUAUAUGAAUCUCAUCAUAUAGAUAAGAUUCUGUUAUAAGCUUAUCGUCAUAUCAAUGCUAGGUUAGGUUAGCGGCAGCGGCAUGGUCCCUUUUGGCCCAUACGUCCGUACACAGCUCCGUUAACUUAUCACGGAUGGGCAUUAGGAUAAGUUCUACUAGAUACCAGAAUCCCAGAUGGAAAAUUUAUCUCGUGUUCUCUGUACAAGUUAUACUAACGAGAGCAUCUUUCAACAAUCCAGAUGGAUAAGCAAUAACGGAGUUGUACCAACGGAAAUUUCAAUCGACGUUAGAUUCAUAUCCAUGUUUCUGGCAUCAAGUUAGGGUCUCGGAAAAUAGGGUCCCCUCUGGCAAUGGCCGGAUCGACAUAGAGAUUCGGAUGAUACCAAUAACCUCCGACAGUCCGACUGCCCGAAAAAUACAUGCGAAGGUCUUUCGAGGACUAUCCAAAUGUAUGACACAGACUCAUUAAUAGUAUGAUGAAAUGCCUUCCAAAAAUAUCUUGACAACAUUUGGCUAGACAUGUCAACCAUGCCUAGCCUGAGAUCUCAACAGCACUCGACAAGUUUUUUUGGCUUUGUUAAUACAACGCAAUAACGAUCGGUCCACUAAAUGCUCGACAAAUUUUUACGUGUUACGCGCACAUUAGUUUCUUUUUGUGUGCAUAUUUUUUAAAAUUUUAUUUGUGUUUGUACCCAUGUGUAUGUCAUCAUGUAACAUUGUAUAUUUAAUCAAUGAUAGAAAAAUUACAUAUGGUAUAUUUAUGUUUUAUGCCUAACUUUUGUAUCAUAUAUUUAUAUUUUUAGUUUGUACCCACUUUUAAUUUGCAACAUUUUUUAAAAAAAUUUGUAGUAUUUUCUUUUUAAUUUUAUUUUGUACCCAUGUAUUAAUUUCUUUUAGUGCCUAUAUUUUUUAAGUACCAAUUUUUUUAACACUAUGAAUACAUUCUUUUGUCAUUUAUUAUUUCUUAUUUUUACAUAGUUUUUAUCCAUUUAUUCAAUUAAAAUGUUUGAAUUUUUUUAUUGUAACCGUUUCUAAUAGUAUUAUAACGAAGAAUUUAAAAUUUAUAGGAUAAUAAAUUUCAUAAAAUAUCAAACAAUUAAUAUCAAAACUAUAAAAAAUAUAAAUAUUAAUUGUAAUAUAAUGAGGUGUACAAAGUCAAUAAACUUUAAUUAAACUUUGAAUACCAUUAAAAUUUUAGUCAAAGAAUGUUAAGGAUUAAAAACCGCAUCCAAAAUAUCCCUUAAUUGUAUGACGAAAUGCCUUCCAAAAAUAUCUUGACAACAUAUCUUGACAACAUUUGGCUAGACGUAUCAACCAUGCCCACCCUGAGAUCUCUCGACAGCACUCUGACAAGUUUCUUUGGCUUUGUUAAUAUAAUUCAAUAACGAUCGGUCCACCAAAUGCUCGACAAAUUUUUGCGUAGCCGCGCACAUUAUUCAUCUAAAUAGAACCUGAAUGUUUUAGGCUGAAAUUCUUAAUCCUGAAUCCGCCAGCCAUACGUCCACACUUACAACUACGACGAAUAGCGCCCAUGGAUAAGAUAUCUUUCUACAAACGAGAAGUAUUGACACAAGCACCAGAUUAUAUAGAUCCAGUACCACAUCAUAAUACAUUACACAUGCACGAACUAAUAUGCAGUUUUAUUAUUCAAAAUACAACAGCAGGAACUUGUAAGGGAAAAUUAAACACUCUCUUUACAAAUAACAGCAGAGAUUAUGCAGAUUUAGCAACAUGGAAACCCUAGCAACUCGGAACGAACACACCCAAACCCUAGCAACAGCGGAGAUUCAACCACUAUACUUAUAUAGUCGCACAUGCACUAGAUUGAAACUCAGAACAAACAACACCCAAAACCCUACGUGGAAACCCUAGACAGUUUCUUUUUUCCUUCCAGCCAUGGCUAAACCGUCCACAGAAAAC